GACGAGGCAGGCACAGCUGCCAGAGACCAUCCAGGACGUGGAGAGAAAGAGUGCCCCAACCAGUCUUCAGGAGGAAGAGAUGCCCAUGAAGCAGGUCCAGAACUAAGUGGGAGUGGAGGCAGGCCCUCCACAGAAGCUCUGCAGCAGGGGCUGGGAGAGCAGAAGGGCAGGCCCUGCAACUCAGGCUGGGAGUAUCGAACCCUCUGCCUAGGGCCGGAGUUGCUGCCAGUACCCGCUCCCUCUGCUCAUCCAUCCUUGAUUAUUUGGCUUCUAGGAACAGUUGACUUCCCAGAAUGCAGUGGGCUGCUGGGCACCCCUCUCACGGUUGGGGAGGAUUCUGUAAAUAAAGGUGCCCCUUGGGUUGGGGCAGUGGUGACGAGCUGUGGGAAGAGCCCUGGAUAGGAAGCCACUGAGUCUGCCCUGGGCUCUGAUAAAACCUUCACCAUUAACUUGCUGUGUGACCUUGGGCAUGUGGCUUUCCCUCUCUGGGCCUCAGUCUGUUCAUCUCCCAAAUGGAUAAUGAAGCCUCUUGGGAGGCCCUACCAUAGGAUCUGUUGCCAUGCUCAAAUGAGUUACUGAAUAAGGUGCUUCUGCUUCUUCUAGAGAUGGUGCUAAAGAAAGGACUAGCAUAUGAGACUUCUGGUACCAAUGGGGCUGGUGGGCAUGCUGUCCACUGUGUGGUGCUAGGACUGCCAAUGCCAGGCCCAAGGGACAAAAAGAACAGAGCUUUUUGUUCUCAUGGCUGGCCCUGCUACCUCCGAGGCACCCUGCAGGGCAAUGCAUGUCAUCCCAACCCCCACACUCCCCAUCCUCCAACCCACUGGUCUCAUGCCCAAAGAAGAGUUGAAGGCAUGGGAGCCAACAUUUUAUUGAAGAAGCCACAGAGGCUGAAAUUCAAUAAACACAAGUUUUAUGAGU
RNAcentral lists this long non-coding RNA (918 nucleotides) under Homo sapiens (human). RNAcentral's name for it is "HSALNT0106355". The record is from RNAcentral. Lineage: Eukaryota; Metazoa; Chordata; Mammalia; Primates; Hominidae.